RNAcentral lists this ribosomal RNA (494 nucleotides) under uncultured bacterium. Its description in RNAcentral is "partial 16S ribosomal RNA". It matches the Rfam family "Bacterial small subunit ribosomal RNA", at positions 28 to 507 of the family's 1533-position model. The record is from RNAcentral.
GAUGAACGCUGGCGGCGUGCCUAAUACAUGCAAGUAGAACGCUGAAGGAGGAGCUUGCUCUUCUGGAUGAGUUGCGAACGGGUGAGUAACGCGUAGGUAACCUGCCUGGUAGCGGGGGUAACUAUUGGAAACGAUAGCUAAUACCGCAUGACAACAGUUAUUGCAUGAUAACUGUUUAAAAGGGGCAACUGCUCCACUACCAGAUGGACCUGCGUUGUAUUAGCUAGUUGGUGAGGUAACGGCUCACCAAGGCGACGAUACAUAGCCGACCUGAGAGGGUGAUCGGCCACACUGGGACUGAGACACGGCCCAGACUCCUACGGGAGGCAGCAGUAGGGAAUCUUCGGCAAUGGACGGAAGUCUGACCGAGCAACGCCGCGUGAGUGAAGAAGGUUUUCGGAUCGUAAAGCUCUGUUGUAAGAGAAGAACGAGUGUGAGAGUGGAAAGUUCACACUGUGACGGUAUCUUACCAGAAAGGGACGGCUAACUACGUG